GGUAAUGCCGAGCCAGCAGGGAGGGUAAUACGGAGGGUGCGAGCGUUUAUCGGAAUUACUGGGCGUAAAGCGUGGGCAGGCUGCUUAUUAAGUCAGAUGUGAAAUCCCUAGGCUCAACCUAGGAACUGCAUUUGAAACUAAUAAACUAGAGUAUCGUAGAGGGAGGUAGAAUUCCAGGUGUAGCGGUGAAAUGCGUAGAUAUCUGGAGGAAUACCAGUGGCGAAGGCGACCUCCUGGACGAAAACUGACGCUCAAGCACGAAAGCAUGGGGAGCAAACAGGAUUAGAUACCCGUGUAGUC
RNAcentral lists this ribosomal RNA (300 nucleotides) under uncultured Helicobacter sp. Its description in RNAcentral is "bacterial SSU rRNA". It matches the Rfam family "Bacterial small subunit ribosomal RNA", at positions 496 to 795 of the family's 1533-position model. Lineage: Bacteria; Pseudomonadati; Campylobacterota; Epsilonproteobacteria; Campylobacterales; Helicobacteraceae. The record is from RNAcentral.